This 446-nucleotide ribosomal RNA is filed under the name uncultured bacterium. Its description in RNAcentral is "bacterial SSU rRNA". It matches the Rfam family "Bacterial small subunit ribosomal RNA", at positions 28 to 524 of the family's 1533-position model. The record is from RNAcentral.
GAUGAACGCUGGCGGCGUGCCUAAGACAUGCAAGUCGAGUGGGUUUAGACCCACGGCGAACGGGUGAGUAAUACCUAGGAACUUUCUUUAAGUGGAGGAUAACCAGCCGAAAGGUUGGAUAAUACUUCAUGUGGCAGUAAUGCUAAAGUCGCAAGACGCUUAAAGUGAGGCCUGGGCACCAUCAGCUAGUUGGUAAGGUAAUGGCUUACCAAGGCUAUGACGGUUAGGGUCCCGAGAGGGAUAACCCCCACACUGGAACUGCGACACGGUCCAGACUCCUACGGGAGGCAGCAGUUUGGAAUUUUGGACAAUGGGCGAAAGCCUGAUCCAGCGACGCCGCGUGGACGAUGAAGGCCUUCGGGUUGUAAAGCUCUUUUGGCGGGGACGAUGAUGACGGUACCCGCAGAAUAAGCCCCGGCUAACUUCGUGCCAGCAGCCGCGGUAAU